Molecule: ribosomal RNA, 52 nt
Filed under: Methanomassiliicoccales archaeon
Lineage: Archaea; Methanobacteriati; Thermoplasmatota; Thermoplasmata; Methanomassiliicoccales
Description: partial 23S ribosomal RNA
Source: RNAcentral
CGCGGCGAGAUCUUAAAGGCGUUCGAGGAGGAGCUCAAGGCGAUGAUCCGGA